RNAcentral lists this ribosomal RNA (208 nucleotides) under uncultured bacterium. Its description in RNAcentral is "partial 16S ribosomal RNA". It matches the Rfam family "Bacterial small subunit ribosomal RNA", at positions 568 to 775 of the family's 1533-position model. The record is from RNAcentral.
CUCGUAGGUGGCCAACUAAGUCAGACGUGAAAUCCCUCGGCUUAACCGGGGAACUGCGUCUGAUACUGGAUGGCUUGAGAUUGGGAGAGGGAUGCAGAAUUCCAGGUGUAGCGGUGAAAUGCGUAGAUAUCUGGAGGAAUACCGGUGGCGAAGGCGGCAUCCUGGACCGACAUUGACGCUGAAAACCGAAAGCUAGGGGAGACAAACG